GCUGGUGUAGCUCAGUGGUAGAGCACUUCAUUGGUAAUGAAGAGGUCGGAAGUUCAAUUCUUCUCACCAGCACCA
This 75-nucleotide transfer RNA is filed under the name Alphaproteobacteria bacterium. RNAcentral's name for it is "tRNA-Thr". It matches the Rfam family "tRNA". Rfam says of the family: Transfer RNA (tRNA) molecules are approximately 80 nucleotides in length. Their secondary structure includes four short double-helical elements and three loops (D, anti-codon, and T loops). Lineage: Bacteria; Pseudomonadati; Pseudomonadota; Alphaproteobacteria. The record is from RNAcentral. RNAcentral also lists the same sequence under 1 other name.